Molecule: long non-coding RNA, 419 nt
Filed under: Mytilus galloprovincialis (Mediterranean mussel)
Lineage: Eukaryota; Metazoa; Mollusca; Bivalvia; Mytilida; Mytilidae
Source: RNAcentral
UGGUAAUAUCCAUAUGCAGUUUUCUUUGAAUAACCCAUAUGUUACUACCAGUCCAAUUUGAGCUUAAAAUUAAUAAAAUAGUAUUUGAACUAAAUCUUUAUAUGUUUUUUAUUGCUUAAAAUAGAUCAUAGAAUGAAAUUAAGUAAUGCUCAAGUCAAUAUAGCAAGUUUGGUUCUGUUAUAGGUGUAACACCACUAAUUCAGGCCCGGCCAGAAAGCACAUACCAGAAAGUAGUACAUAUUUAACACAAAAUAGUUCCUACGCAUGGACAUAACUUUCAAAAUAUUUAGAAUAUUUUAUUAAUUUUGGUAUCAAAUGAAAGCUGCAUGACUGGUGAUCAUUGCAGAACAAUUUUUGACUGAUAAAUUUGAAUAAUAAAAAAAAUGGCAUGAAAUUUAAAAAGGAGGGUACAUUUUGCC